Molecule: ribosomal RNA, 253 nt
Filed under: uncultured bacterium
Lineage: Bacteria
Description: partial 16S ribosomal RNA
Rfam family: Bacterial small subunit ribosomal RNA
Source: RNAcentral
UACGUAGGUGGCAAGCGUUGUCCGGAUUUACUGGGCGUAAAGAGCGCGCAGGCGGUCGUUCAAGUCGCGUGUGAAAGCCCCCGGCUCAACUGGGGAGGGUCACGCGAUACUGAUCGACUCGAAGGCAGGAGAGGGAAGUGGAAUUCCCGGUGUAGUGGUGAAAUGCGUAGAUAUCGGAAGGAACAUCAGUGGCGAAAGCGACUUCCUGGACCAAUACUGACGCUCAUGUGCGAAAGCGUGGGGAGCAAACAGG